GGCGCGGGGCGGGCGCAGGAGCCGGCGUGACUCAGGCUGGGGCUCUAGCGCCUUUGUUCCCAGGCCGCACGGCCUUAAAGGGCCAGCGCCCGCCCGAGGCAGGAGCGCGCGCCCCGCGACCGCCCGCCGCCCUCAGUGGGGUUGCCCGCGGGCUCCCGGCUGCCGGCACAAGAGGGGCAUCCUGCAGGAUUUAGGGGUUCAUCCAGUCGAAUCCUCAGACCAUAAGCGAGGCCCUGGGUCAUCACAACCAUCCCUUUGCCUCAGGGCUGGGCUGCACCUAAACCGGCCAAGAGGAAUUAAGAAAACCCUUUCCCUGCUUUAGAAAGAUGCUACCACGGGGGACCCCUUCUAGGCAGCCUCUUUUGGGGUCUAACAGCCAUCUGUCUUCUAACCAGUCCCCACCCUGUAGGUGUUCUGGAAGCCCUCCCUCGGUGACCCCGCCAUCCUGGCCCCUAUCAGGACUGGGCUAUUUGAACCCUCCCUCAUUUGACACAUGUUUAGUGGGUUCUAGUCCAGGAAGCCCAGCCCCGGGAGAAGCCUGCCCAGCAGCCUGAACCACGGUGCCACCAAGAGCAGGGGAGACAGCAUGCUGGAUAUGGCCUUCCUCAUGUCCAAUGCCACAAGGCUCUCAUCACUACACCAUCCUCACCACCCUCAUCGGCAUCUCUCUGCUCCAGAAGGUGGUCAUUGGAAUCCUCCUCGUGGUCACUGGUUCUAGGUCUGCUUCCUCCUUUCCCCUUGGACCCCCCGCCCCCAUCUGCCGGGCUGCUGGGCACUUUCCCCACCCUCUGGGAGAGCUCCUGAAAGGGCAAUGUAGAUGCCCUUGCUUCUCACCGCCAGCACCGAAAUGAAGAUGGGACCUUUUACUGGCUUAAGUGAAUCCCGCUCAGGUUGCAGUCCUGAGCUCAGACUGGGGUACUGCCAACCCUCCUCCUGGCAGAUCUCCUGCCCUCGAGGUGUGCCUAUCUAAGGCUUCAGACUCCACCCUGUUCCCUCCCUCAGCUCCAGGCCUCCUUGCCCUUUCUGAAGAAUGGCAUGCUUUCUACCUAAAAAGAUUGCUGCAAAUCACUGUGAGUCAAUCAUUCUGUCUCCAAUUGUGAAGGCUCAGGCAUCUGGGCAGCUCUCUCCAUCUGG
Molecule: long non-coding RNA, 1134 nt
Filed under: Sus scrofa (pig)
Lineage: Eukaryota; Metazoa; Chordata; Mammalia; Artiodactyla; Suidae
Description: lncRNA (ENSSSCG00070017383.1)
Source: RNAcentral